RNAcentral lists this transfer RNA (74 nucleotides) under Ignavibacteriota bacterium. RNAcentral's name for it is "Ignavibacteriae bacterium (groundwater metagenome) tRNA-Pro". It matches the Rfam family "tRNA". Rfam says of the family: Transfer RNA (tRNA) molecules are approximately 80 nucleotides in length. The record is from RNAcentral. Lineage: Bacteria; Pseudomonadati; Ignavibacteriota. RNAcentral also lists the same sequence under 2 other names.
CGGGAUGUAGCGUAGCCUGGUAGCGCGCAUCGUUCGGGACGAUGAGGUCGCUGGUUCGAAUCCAGUCAUCCCGA